GCUGAUGUGGCUCAGUGGUAGAGCACAUCCUUGGUAAGGAUGAGGUCGGCAGUUCAAUCCUGCUCAUCAGCU
This 72-nucleotide transfer RNA is filed under the name Vallitaleaceae bacterium. It matches the Rfam family "tRNA". Rfam says of the family: Transfer RNA (tRNA) molecules are approximately 80 nucleotides in length. Their secondary structure includes four short double-helical elements and three loops (D, anti-codon, and T loops). Further hydrogen bonds mediate the characteristic L-shaped molecular structure. tRNAs have two regions of fundamental functional importance: the anti-codon, which is responsible for specific mRNA codon recognition, and the 3' end, to which the tRNAs corresponding amino acid is attached (by aminoacyl-tRNA synthetases). tRNAs cope with the degeneracy of the genetic code in two manners: having more than one tRNA (with a specific anti-codon) for a particular amino acid; and 'wobble' base-pairing, i.e. permitting non-standard base-pairing at the 3rd anti-codon position. Lineage: Bacteria; Bacillati; Bacillota; Clostridia; Lachnospirales; Vallitaleaceae. The record is from Rfam by way of RNAcentral.